AACGAACGCUGGCGGCAGGCUUAACACAUGCAAGUCGAGCGAGACCUUCGGGUCUACCGGCGGACGGGUGAGUAACGCGUGGGAACGUUCCCUUCUCUACCGAAUAGCCCCGGGAAACUGGGAGUAAUACCGUAUACGCCCUCUUGCGGAAAGAUUGAUCGGAGAAGGGUCGGCCCGCGUUCGUUUAGGUAGUUGGUGGGGUAAUGGCCCACCAAGCAGACGAUCCAUAGCUGGUUCGAGACGAUGAUCAGCCACACUGGGACUGGGACACGGCGCAGACUCCGGCGGGAGGGAGCAGUGGGGAAUCUGAGACAAUGGGGGCAAGACUGAUCUAGCCAGGCCGCGAGAGUGAUGAAGGCCUUAGGGUUGUAAAGCUCUUUCAGCUGGGAAGAUAAUGACGGUACCAGAAGAAGAAGCCCCGGCUAACUCCGU
Molecule: ribosomal RNA, 432 nt
Filed under: uncultured bacterium
Lineage: Bacteria
Description: partial 16S ribosomal RNA
Rfam family: Bacterial small subunit ribosomal RNA
Source: RNAcentral